Molecule: long non-coding RNA, 350 nt
Filed under: Homo sapiens (human)
Lineage: Eukaryota; Metazoa; Chordata; Mammalia; Primates; Hominidae
Description: non-protein coding EIF1B-AS1:12
Source: RNAcentral
UCUGGGGCUCUCUUCCCAGAGAGCUCGUAGGGGAGGACAGUCAAGGGACUCAAGCGUCUCUCUUGACUCCCCUUCUCUCGCUGUGCAGUGGCGGCGCCGAGGGGUCGACGCUCAGGGCUAAUCUCUAUGAGUCACCCUCGAGGCCCCGGGUAAUAUUGGGUGGAUCACAAGAACUAAUCUUUCAUGAUUUGGAAACCGGAAGGAAAGAAGCACUUUUGUAGCUGACUUACCUCAAUGACAUGACCAGUGUCUGAGCCUACAACUGCGCUAUCUUCCCUGGAUUUUUCUUCACCUUUUCCUUACUCAUGAGCCAGAACUGCAUGUCCAAGGAGCUAUACAUUUGCUAGAAG